Molecule: ribosomal RNA, 497 nt
Filed under: uncultured bacterium
Lineage: Bacteria
Description: partial 16S ribosomal RNA
Rfam family: Bacterial small subunit ribosomal RNA
Source: RNAcentral
GAUGAACGCUGGCGGCGUGCCUAAUACAUGCAAGUCGAGCGAACAGACGAGGAGCUUGCUCCUCUGACGUUAGCGGCGGACGGGUGAGUAACACGUUGAUAACCUACCUAUAAGACUGGGAUAACUUCGGGAAACCGGAGCUAAUACCGGAUAAUAUAUUGAACCGCAUGGUUCAAUAGUGAAAGACGGUUUUGCUGUCACUUAUAGAUGGAUCCGCGCCGCAUUAGCUAGUUGUUAAGGUAACGGCUUACCAAGGCAACGAUGCGUAGCCGACCUGAGAGGGUGGUCGGCCACACUGGAACUGAGACACGGUCCAGACUCCUACGGGAGGCAGCAGUAGGGAAUCUUCCGCAAUGGGCGAAAGCUUGACGGAGCAACGCCGCGUGAGUGAUGAAGGUCUUCGGAUCGUAAAACUCUGUUAUUAGGGAAGAACAAAUGUGUAAGUAACUAUGCACGUCUUGACGGUACCUAAUCAGAAAGCCACGGCUAACUACGUG